Molecule: long non-coding RNA, 1370 nt
Organism: Cercocebus atys (sooty mangabey)
Lineage: Eukaryota; Metazoa; Chordata; Mammalia; Primates; Cercopithecidae
Exons: 3
Source: RefSeq, a predicted model, not a curated record
AUCUGGGCCUCCCAAAGUGCCAGGAUUACAGGCGUGAGCCACCGUGCCCAGUCAACUUGUUUUUCUGGUUUUCCAUGGUUUUCUAUGACUUGAACCUAGUUCUUCAGAAGCUAAUAGAUAAUAAUAAUGGCUUUUCCCCAAUUUAUACUAAAAAACAGUACAAAACAGCAGAGUAAAUGUCUAUUAGUGGGUGAAAGUGCAUAAUGCUUAGUUCAUUAGCUUUUUUAAAAAAUCACAUGUAAUUGUGUCCCAAAAAUACAUAUAUAGUAAUGGUAUUUAUUGGUAUUACUUGGUUUGUGUGAUAGAAUAAAAUGUUAGAAUUUUAUGGUGUUUGAAUUAGUUAUCUAUUGCUCUUUAACUAAUUUAGCAGCUCAAAACAACAAACAUUAUCUCAGUUUCUGUGGGUCAGGAUUCUGUCCUGUUUACCUUGGAUUCACUGGCUUGGCCUCUCACCAGACAGUGAAGGUGUUGGUGGCAGCUGAGAUCCAUCCCAAGGCAGGAUAGGGAGAUAAUCCACCUCCGAGCUCACAUUGGCAGGAUUCAUCUCAGAGGCUGUUGGACUGGGCCUCCUUUUCUAGAUGGCUACUGGUCAGAGGCCUUUUACAAUACCUUGCUAUGUGGGCCUCUCCAUAGGGCACCUCAUCACAUGGCAACUGGCUUCCAUCAGAGGGAGCAAUGGAGAGAGCAGGAGAACGGUGACCAAGGCAGGCAUCAUAGUCUCCUUGUAGCCUCACCUCAGAAGUGAUGUUAUUACUUUUGCUGUAUACUCCUUGGUAGAAGUGAGUCACUAGGUCCAGGGAUGGGAAUUUUACAAAGGUGUGAAUGGCAGGAGGUGAGGGUGAUCGGGCCCAUUUAGAGGCUGCCUACCAGUGUUGAAGAAAAUUGUUGACUUCUAUGAGCUGUAGCAGCAGACAGUGCUAUGCAAGGAGAAUGGCUGUCUGAGAAGUCCAGCACCUCAUAGGGGUUUUAAUGUGUUACCUUUUCCCCGAUACAUUUUGUUUAAAUCCGUGGUCGUCUUGCCAUUUAGUGGUGUGGUUUAAUUGCAUAUUUGGAUUAGUCUGUAUGUAAACGUUUAACACAGGUGUCUCUGUGCUAAACGGGAAUCCUAUUCAUCUUCUUCACCAAUAUGGUUUGUGGACUCUGAUGAGCCAACUCUGACAUCAGUUCUGGAAUGUCUAGAAGACACUAAGAACAACAAUUUGGAAACUGUGAAUAGUAGAAUACAAUUUAAAAAGAAAAUGUGUGUCUUCUGUGCCAGGACCUGUGAUAAUUUGGUAUAAAAGACAAAAAGCUUCAUCAGCAAUUGAAGUCGGUGAUAUGUGGACUCUGCAGAUUAUAUAACCUUCCUAAGGACAGGGAUGUUGAGAUGC